GGAAUAUUGGACAAUGGGCGCAAGCCUGAUCCAGCCAUGCCGCGUGCAGGAAGAAGCAUCUAUGGUGUGUAAACUGCUUUUGUACGGGAAGAAACACUCCCUCGUGAGGGAGCUUGACGGUACCGUCAGAAUAAGGAUCGGCUAACUCCGUGCCAGCAGCCGCGGUAAUACGGAGGAUCCAAGCGUUAUCCGGAAUCAUUGGGUUUAAAGGGUCCGUAGGCGGUUUAAUAAGUCAGUGGUGAAAUCUGGUCGCUCAACGAUCAAACGGCCAUUGAUACUGUUAGACUUGAAUUAUUGGGAAGUAACUAGAAUAUGUAGUGUAGCGGUGAAAUGCUUAGAUAUUACAUGGAAUACCAAUUGCGAAGGCAGGUUACUACCAAUGGAUUGACGCUGAUGGACGAAAGCGUGGGGAGCGA
Molecule: ribosomal RNA, 416 nt
Filed under: uncultured bacterium
Lineage: Bacteria
Description: bacterial SSU rRNA
Rfam family: Bacterial small subunit ribosomal RNA
Source: RNAcentral